ACGACAAUUUUUAAGCAUGUUUUUUUGUUUAUAUACUCUUUUUAGUUGAUUUAGUGUUCGUUGUUUAGUUAGUUAAUUUAGUAAUUCCUCUACUGGUUAAUAAGCCCAAGUGUUAUUUGACCUUUUCCUCAACUGAAUAGCUAUUAGGAAGGUGUAGUUUGAUAGCUGAAGUAGUAAAGAUCCAGCAGGAAUGGAAUAGGAGGUAACUGGUGUCUAACACGGCGGCGCUAUUUACCAGGUGCAAAGUAUACAUGAAGAAAUUCGCAAUAUCAUCUAGACCCAAUGAAAAUUACAUAAAUCAGACUCGCAUGAGCACCCCACCUGGGUCACCCCCCGCCCCGGUGCCUGGGGUCAACGUCUAUUUGGGAGGGUUUAUGCUUGGUGGAAUAAUUUUAGCCAUAUUCGUUUUGUGCUACUGUUGUCAUAAAACGAAUAGAAAAUCAAGUCCAAGUUUGUCGUCGAUGAUCUGGAGAGAGCCGGGACUAUCAUUGCAAAUUUAUACAGUAGAAGCUGCACAAAACGUAAGUUAAUAAAUACUUAAACAUAAAUAAAAUACUGUAGUAGUGAGUGACUAAUAUGUGUAUACAAUGUGAUCAAAAAGUUUGGUUAUCAAGCCAGCACCAUACCAAGUGAUUGUAUUAACAUUUCCCUUUCCUGACUAACGCAAUAUCAUAUAUAGUUAACUACUGAACAGUACAGUUGGGGUUGAAAUCUCUGGUGCUACAACAGCGAUAUAAAAAACCAAUUCACACCCUACAAUAUAUUCAAACAUUGUUACCAAAGUGCGCGUCAAGUCUAAAAAGUAAUGUAUUUUGUUGUAUUGUGGAAAAUCCCUGUUUCAUUUUCCUA
Sitophilus oryzae (rice weevil) is the source of this 849-nucleotide long non-coding RNA. RefSeq lists it as uncharacterized. The record is from RefSeq and is a predicted model, not a curated record. The transcript is spliced from 4 exons. NCBI's taxonomy places the organism in Eukaryota, Metazoa, Arthropoda, Insecta, Coleoptera, Curculionidae.